GUCAGCUUGCUGUGUAUGAGAUCCCCCAGGUUCUCCUUUCACAAGGUAUCCUCAACCCUCAAGCACCCGCACCAGCUCCUCUACCACCGAAGCCUAAGAAGGCUGCUCCUCUUAAUGCACUUUCUCCCUCAAGGUCGACCACCGUUUCUGUUGAUUCUUCUGGUGCGACAGGUCUGCUCCACUAUGCACCAACUGUUGCAUCCAUUGGAGUGGCUGUUCUUGCGGCAAUGUCCUUAUCCCUAUGGACUGAGUGGCAGAUUGAUGGAUGGUGAUGUGUUGAUCAUGCGUGCAUGAGUGUAAUUGUGUUGUCAUGAUUUUUACUUAAUAAAAUCUUUACCUUAUCUUUGCACUGAAAUUUGAAAAAUUGACAUAAUAAGAGGGUAUCUUUUAUUUCAUGACAAAAAUACUGACAAAACAAAAAACAACAAAGGUCCCAUGGCCGUUGAUUCUGGAGUUAAGUGCCAAAGUGAAAUCGCGAAUCAAAAAAAGUUAUCACAUGUAGGCCUCCUUCCAGAUUUAUUAUAAAAAAAAUAUCAUGUAUGUUCUUAAAAUGAGGUUGAAACUGCAUUCAAAAGAUGCCAUCUUCAACAUUAAAAAUGUGAUUUUAGUUUGAAAAUAAACUUAGUCAUAUUUUGAAUAGUUAAAUAAAAAUAUGAUUUCUAUACAACUUAACAAAUGAAACUAAGAUACAAGUCUACAAGACUAAGUUCCAAUAUAUAUAGAAAUACAAAAAAAGAAAAAGACUUGUUCUUGAUUCUUGUCAUUAAUAUGAGACCAAGCUUUUAGUGACAUGAAAUAAAUCUAAAGUAAGAUAUUUAAUUUGCACUGACCAUGACCAUGAUUUUGUACACAAAGCCUUUAUAAGUUAGAUAUAUAACUUAUAAAAAGAAAAAGGAUUAAAAAAAAAAGGGAUCUGAAAAAUCCAAAACAGUGUAAACAUAGUUUACUAUGCAUGAUUGUCAAACAAAAUAACAGAAAAAAUCUAAAGAGAUCCUAAAAGUAAAGGAGGAGCUCUGCUUCUCUUCUAUUAUGAAUCAACAUUCUAAAAGUAGUGUCCUCGCAUUCAAAGAAUUACAAUGUACAGUGUAUUGGAACACUACAUUUCUACUCUUAUCAUUAACAUUCUUAUCAAGUAGGAUUCUAUUCUUUUUCAUGGGAUGGACCUCGGAACCUCUUACAUCCUCAUCCCAGUCCUUGUCACUUCCACUUGAGGAAUUAAGUAGGUAUCGGAUCAGCUAAACAGAAAUGGAACUGCCAAUUGAUGGAUGAAUUUGACAAAGACCCAGCCUCUCCAUGCUACACUUUCCAUGGCCGCUUUUAGGAACAAUAAAAAAAAGGAUCGGCAUCAUUGUCUCACAGAGUUUACAUAUCCUGCUGUUUCUUCCUGCUUUACUAAGCAACCCUUUUAGGUAUUCUAACUAUAUGAAAACCCACUACUACAAAAAACUAAAUUAAUGGCGCUCUAUUUCUUGGCGCUUAUAAAAAAUGUCAUUAUUUGUGACCAAAAUUAGUAAGCAUUGACGCUUGUAUAUCAUUGGCGUUUUACAAGGAGAAGCAAUGGCGUUUUUAAAUAAUGACCCUUUUAAAAACGUUAUUGUAUGCUGAAUUUUAAAUAAUGACACUUUUCCAAGUGUCAUUGUUGGACAAGUUAAAUAGUGGCAGUCUUUCAAAGUAUCAUGUCCAGUUUCUUUAUAUAAAAACUCCUUAUUUCUUAAUUUAAAAAGCCUAACACUCUAGCCCACAAUCACACCCAACAAACUCACUGCCCGACACCCACACUCAAACCCUAACCUCCAUGGAUGACCCUCUUUGAAACCCUAACCCUCUCCAAAACUCUAACCCUGAAAUUUAUGAGGCCUCUGCUACUAUUUGACUGAUUGUGGAGGAGGCAUAUCCGUGUUUGGCCACCAUUAGCUGACUGGUAAAUCUCUUUCUCUCUCAAAAUAUUUUCGAUUUUAUAGUUUAGGGUUUUUUCUUUUGGGUGUUUAUGAUUUUUUAUGGGGUGUUUGUUAUGGCUAAAUAUCUAAUCUGAUAAAUAUAACAAUUUGUUUGUGUUUGUUUUAUUUUUAGAAACCCAUUCCUUCAUGUUGUUUGGCAUUCGACUGCAAUUUUUGGCAUUGACACCUAAUGUAAGCUCUAACCUGUAUCUAUUCAUAUCCAGAUUUUGUAUUAUUGUUUUUUUUUCUUUUUGUAAAUUUUGGGUUUCAAUGUACCUGGAAUGAAAUGAUGCAUGUUGCUCUAUUUUUCGGGAAGUGGUGGCUGGAACUCUGUUUUUGGAAAAUGGCAGCUAGAUUCUCUUCUCAUACACACAGAAUUAAUGUUGUUAAUUUGUGGGAAAUGAAUUUUCUGCAAUGGGUUUUGCAACUAAUUGCAAAAAUAAAAAUUUCUUACCAGAUUUUUGUACUAAAAUCUCAAUUAUGAAAUAAGAUUUCUAAAUUUGUACUAAACCCAUAAUUUAAAAAUGCAGUUUCAAUUGGUAGUAUAUCAAGCGUGUUAUCCAGCAACGUCUAAAUAAUUAAAAAAAUUUAUAGUGCUUUUUCCAUGUCAGUAAGUUGUCUAUGUUGUGUAUUCACUCAAAGCAUGAUAUGGAAUCUCUUACCAAAUGUGCCCAUGCCUUAUUGUCCUUAAUCUCUUACCAAAUGUUGUGUAUUCACUCAAAAUUAUGAAUGCUUCCACCACGUGGGAGCUAGUGGGGUUUCUUUGCUCAUUUUCUAUUGUACCUUUCUUUAGGGGUUGACUUUGGCAUGAAAAGAGAAAAAAAAAAAAAAAUCUGGUUUUGAACUUAGAAUACUUUAAUUUAAAUAAAUAUGUAGAAUUGGUAGUUUUCUUUAUGAGAGGUUUGCUAUAGUAAGAUGUAUUCCAGCUAAGAGGUUUAGAACUCUAUAAAUUAAAAAUAAAAUAUUCAUUUCUAUAUGUUUAUUAUCCCAUCCUUAAUGUGGGCCCAAGUGAAUAGGAACUUUGGGAAAUCCCAUCCCAUUUGUCUUGUUAUCUAGAUUAUCUAUUUUUUUUUUUUUUGAUCAAUUAUAGUAUAAAUGAAACUAAAAUGCUUGAGUACUAUACUUCCUUAUGAAUGAUCAAAUCCUUGUAAAAGAGAACCUUAGAAUUUUAAAAUAAAAAUAAUUAAAUAAGAUUAUGUUUGGUUGUACUUUUAUUUAUUUAUUUUUAUUGCUUUUCAAAUUAAAUAUACAAAAUUUGAUUUUUUAUAAAAGCAUGUCUAAUACCUAUAGUAUUUUUUAUUAUACUCUUUGCAAAAAACAAAUUUGAGAAUGAUUUUCCAAAAACAAAUAAACAAAAAAAAAAGGUUUUACGUGUUGAAUACAUUAUAAGGAAGAAAAAAUAAAUAAUAGUAAAGAAAAUUCAUGAUUUUUAAUUUUUUUUUUAUGGAAGAUCUCAUUGCAAUUAUUUCCUUAUGGUCAUCCCUUUGGAGAAGAUAAUAUUUUAAUUAGGGUAAUAUAUGUGCUUUGAAUUUGAUUUUGUUCCAUAAUUUUUAAAAUUAUAUGCAAGAAACAAAUAGCCAAGGAUAUUUUAUUUGAUCAAAUAUAGAUUCUAAGCAAGCAAAUAAUUAAGGAUGACUUUAUUUUAGAAAUAGAUAGCAAUCAUCUAUAUAUAUAUUUGCCCAUUAUUACCUUAGUAAGAGUUUCAAUAGUUCUUUACUAUUAAUUAUAUUGACUAUGCUAUUAAUUAUGCUUGUUGUACGGUUAAAAUAAAGUUGGAAUUCAAAAAACAAAUAAAAAUAUUUAGUAACCAAAAUUAUCAACUUCAAUUCAUUGAAAGUCUUACCAAGAAAAUAUAAUUUUCAUAAAACAAAAGUCCAUUUGACCCCUCCAUUUGCUAUUGCUAUAUCAAUUUUAAUGCAAUUGUAAUCACAAAAUAUUAAAAUAAGAAAUAUUUUUUUAAUAACCACACAUCACAAAUAUUAAAUGAAUUAUUUACUAAUAGAUUUAUUUUUUUAUUUUUUUAUUAUUUGUUUUGCAUAUAUAUCUUUUAAGGGACAGUGACCUACAUUAGACUAUGAGAGAUGUGAGAUGCAAGACUUGAGACAAAGACAAAUUGAGGAAGGUACUAAAUAUAUAACUAAAUUUUAUGUAAAAUUUUUGAACUAUCAUUGGGUUUUGGUGGCACUGGAAACAAGGACUAUGAUUGCAUAUUACCUUGACUCAUUGGAAGACCAACCUUCUAAUGAGCUUAAGGAGAUUGUUAAUAUGUAAGUUUUUCUCUCAAUACAAGAGCAUGAAGCAUAAUUGGUAACAAAUAUUAUUUUCUUCAUGUAGGGCCCUUAGAAUUCAUCCACCACAAAAACAUAAAUCAUCAAAGAGGGAGCCUACUUGGGUUGUAGUAGGGGUGAGUAAUUCAUAUAAAUUAAGUAAUGCAAUUUUUAAUAGCAUUUCUUAAUUUUUAAUCAAGUACAAGAUAUCCUACAACUAACUAUAAAAUUGGUGUAUUCUACAAUGAUUUAUUUUUAUGCAUAAAGUGCCCAAUACAACCAGGCAGUGUUGAAUGUGGAUACUAUGUGAUGAGAUAUAUGAGAGAUAUUAUUGCUGAUUAAGGAUGUCUUACAUCAAAGGUAUGCACCAAUUUAUUAAUUUCCAAUAUAUCAUUUUUACCAUAUUUUUCAAUGUAAUUGAUUAAAUUGUUUACAUUACUCCUUAAUAGUUUCAUGGGAAAAAAUCGUAUAGCAAAGAUGAGUUGAAUGAAGUACGAUCAGAAUGGGUAAUGCUAGUCACUCAGUUGAUACUUUCUUCUGUUUGAAGGCUUUGAAGACACCUUUCUGUAUGGAAAUAGAUCAUACUUUUGCCCAAUCCAACUAUCACCUUUGUUAAGGUUAAUAUUUUAUUUUUUUCUCUUUUGAACCAAACUAUGAUUAAAAGUAAAUUGUUUGAUGGAAUCACAACCAAGUUGAUAACAUUUUCUUUCUAUUGUCAUGAUAUUUCUCUAGUUUCCCAUAACUAAACUAAGUUGUUAAUUGCAUGCAUGACUCACAGGCAUCCAAAAGGAAACUUUUUGAAGCUAAAAGUUGGAAGCUUUUCCAAGUUUCUAAUAGUUCAUGGGCUAUUGCCACAAAAAAGGUUAUUUUCAUAGGGAUAUCAAGUUUAUUAUUUCUUGCUUCCUAUUAAAGAUCUUCUAAUAGGGGAUAUACACUUGGAAUUUUGUCGUUCUCAUGUGAUCAUUUGUUUUCAUUCUCAACUACAGAAUGUUCUUGUUGGUUCAAAGGGAAACAUGAAGAUUUCUAAUUUUGGCCAUGGUGUUAUACCACAACAUUGUAAGUUACAUCGUCACCCUCAUAAAACAUAAAGAUUUCUUCAUAAAAUAAUUUUUUUUGUUUCAUUGCUUAACUUAUUUAUUUUUCAAUGAAUUUAAAACUACAAGAUGAUGGAUUACUAUAUAUUUAUAUACAACCAGUGGAAGUUCAAAUUACAUUGCUUAAUUAACUUCUAAUUAAGUUUUUUCAAGUGUCAAAAAUGUGGUUUGUAGUUUAAUUUUCAUUUCAUUAAAAUUAACAGUUCUAUUUUUAUCUCUUCAACCAAUUUGUAGAUCGGGUAAGUGAUUGAGCGUAGCUCUAGAAACUGCCAGUGAAGUAUCUCUAUGAACAUAAUCCCCUCAUGAUUUGCAGAAAUUUUAAGACUAACAACAUACUCUUAAAGGUAUGGUCUCUACUACUCAUAAAUUACCAUUAUAUUUUGUUCAUUCAGAAAAUUUAUAUUGGUGAUGAAGUUUUUAUUAUUUUACAUCAUUGGCUUGAUAACCAUGCUUUUUAAAUUUAGUAUACAUGAGAAAUAACAAUUAAAAAAAAAUGAAUUCCGGUUUCUCACUUUAUGUGUUUGUAUUAUGGACAUUUUUAAGCUAAAGUUCCUUAAGCUUUACUUUUGUGUAAUGUAUUGCAUGAUAGACUGAUGUUUGAAUCUCUAUUUGGCUUCAUAGAUAACCUGAAUUUAUUGUUAAAUUUUUAUGCAAUCAUAUAUUUGCCAUAUAGUUGUCACUUUAGAUCGCUCACAUAAUUCUAGAUAUUUUCCCAAAUAUGUUUUAUUUUAAAAAAAUAAUCAUAAUCUUUUUAAAUAUGAAAUAUGAGCUUUCAUUAAAAAAUAUUCAUCAGUAGAAGAUGUUUAUCUACUAUUAAGUUGUAGAUAUUCUUCUCUACAUUUUUUUAUGCAUGCCAAUUUAUUUAUUAUUAAGUUCUGGAAUUCAUAUGGUUGUUGCUAGCCUUGAUAGUGAUAAAUAAAAUGAAUGAUAAGUAUGAUACAAUUGACCACUAUUUUGGAUGCAAUGUUGCAACUCAUAUCAUAUGGUGGGAAGUGUUAAUUCUUUUAACUUAACAAAAAACUUAGUUGAUAAAGUAUCAUGGUGUAAACCUUAUUUAUUUCAUGUUACACCAUAUUCCCAAACCUUCAUUUGUCAAUGUUGGACAUUCGACGAGGUCUAUUACUAUUAGAUGAUGCCUAAUUGAAUAUUUUAAUGGACUAUUGAUGUUGAUAUUCUCUUGUCCCAAACUUGGUUUGUUUUUCUAUUUUCUUUUGGGCUAUACUAAAGAUUUAAUGGAUUAUCGAUGUUGAUGUUCUCUUAUCCCGUAUUUGAUUAAUCUCUUGUUUUGUGUUUUAACUAUUGAUAGUAAUUUUGUUGUAAUUAUUCUUAGAGUCACAUAUGUCAAUUGGUAUACACAUUUGAUUUCCUAUUAUAUUUUCAUUGUCUUCUCUCUAUUUCUAGAAGUAUUCACUUAUAUAUAUUUUUUCUAAAAUUGUAAUUGAUUUUAGUUUUUUGUGCAUGUAGGUCAUUUUUUUGGGAAAUUAACCUUGUAGUUGGAUAAGCUAGCAUGAAGGAGUAUGUUGAAGACCAAAGCACAAUUGGGUUGCAUGUAAAGAAAAAAUGGACUAUGUCAAGGGACUAAACAUUAAAGUUAUGACUUUUUUUUUUGUUAUUUUAAUAUAUUUUAGUUUUUUUGGGUUUCUUGUUUAUGAAAUACAAGUUCUCUAUUUGUGAUUAAAUACUGCAAUUUGGAAAUGUAUUACCAGAUGAAAAAUUAGGUGCAACAACUAAUUUCAGCAAUAAAUUUUUUUUCUUAUGUGUAUGCAUUAUUUCAAUAGCAGGUGAAAAAUUAGGUGCAACAAUUAUUAAAUUAAAACUAAACUUAAAAUUAAACAAUUAUCUUUCUUGAUGCUUUUACUAAGUGUCAAGGAAUGAGAGUAACCAUAGUAACAUUUCUACAACCCAAUAAUGGCACUAAUAAAUGUGUCAAUGUAGUGUGAACAACUAACAAUGACACUUUUUUAAGUGUCAAGGUUCUCUUCAAUGACGCUUUCUAGCCGUGUCCUUAUAGUUUGAUAUUUGAAACUACUAAACAAUGACACUUAUAGAAAGUGUCAGGGUUUCUUCUACUCAACAAUGGCGCUUAUAAAAGUGUCAAUGUAGUUUGAUAUAAAUAAUGAUGACAAAUUUUUUAAGCGUCAAGGUUCUCUUCAAUGGCGCUUUCUAAAAGCGUCAUUGUAGGCAAAUACUUAUUAUGACAGGCUAGUAGAUGACGCUUUGGGGAAGCGCCAUUGAAUGUAUUUCUUGACACUUAAAAAGCGUCAUGGUUAAUGUUUUUUCUUAUAGUGACCCCUUCUCUGUCUAAUUCAUCUACCUUACCAAGAGAGAUGGGAUAUAUAUUGAGCUUCUCUUGCCAACUUCAAAUGCAGCUUUUCACCAAAUUUCAUGUUCACUUCCCAUCUCACCCGCUCAAUAAAAGCCCCAAUCCCUUCAAACUCAUCCAGUACAACUAUUCUCCAUUUCUUUACAACAAGUUUAGCCAUUCAAUACCAAAAGAGCCUAGAAGAAAUGAUGAGGAAGCUCCUCAUCUCUUCUUUUCUGCUUCUGCUGUUUUUGUUGCAUCUUUGCAGCAAAACUUCUGCUCAGUCUAGCUCUACAGGUCCCAUUGACAUCAUUGCAGUUCUUGGAAAGGCUGGUAAGUUUACUACCUUCACUGGGCUACUGAAGAGCACACAGAUGGAAGUCUAAGUCAAUAGCGGACUCCAGAAAAAAACAAACCCAGGAUUCACCAUAUUUGCACCAACCGAUAGUGCCUUUUCGGACCUCAAAACAGGGACACUGAACUCAUUCAUUGAUCAGCAGAAGCUCGCCCUGACACAAUUCCAUAUAGUACAUUCUUUCUUUACUGUCCCACAGUUCCAAACUGUGAGCAACCCUCUGCACACAGAGGCAGGUGAAAAUUCUGCUGAGUUUCCUCUGAAUGUGAUAGGGAACGGAACUCAGGUGAACAUGACAACAGGCCUUGUGAAUACAACAGUGGACAGCACAGUAUACAGUGAUGGUCAGCUCGCUGUGUAUGAGAUCCCCCAGGUUCUCCUUUCACAAGGUAUCCUCAGGACUCAAGCACCAGCACCGGCUCCUCUACCUCAAAAGCCUAAGAAGGUUACUCCCCUUAAUUCACAGGCUCCUUCAACGUCGACCACCUCUGCUGUUGAUUCUUCUGAUGGGACAGCACUGCCCAACCAUGCAACGAUUGUGGUAUCCAUUGGAGUGGCUGUUCUUGCGGCAUUGCGCUUGUGCCUAUGAACUGGUGCUGAUUGAUGAAUGAUGAUGACGAUGUGAUCUUGCAGUGUGCUUGUGCUGUUACAAUUUUUCGUUUCAUCAAAAUUUUUACCUUAUGUUUCUCGAAAACGAUUAACAACUCAAAUAAGCCUUUUUCUUGUUGAUAUGGAGAAACUUAAGUGGCAAACUUGCUCCCUUCAUGUUUCACACAAGUACUACACUUGAAAAUGACUCCUGGAAAAAUAAGGGGGAAACAAAUCCAAGUAGAUGAAGGCAAUUGAGAAGAUAAUGCCUAAUUUUAGAGAUGGUUUUGAUUUUACUAUGCAAUCUAAACCACUAGAAAGCAACUUGCAGUCAAAUCAGUAUAAAUCAAAAGCAGAUACUUGGUUGAAACCAUUUGAACUUCUCCACCGUGCAAAGGGUUAUUCUCGUAAAGAAAAUUACAAUAGCUAGAGCUCUCAGAGUUCCCAUGAUCGAUGUUAAAUGCACCCAUUAUUUUUUUUAUUGCUAUUUUUAUUUUUCAAAUAAAUUUUAAAUAUAAAAGAAUAAAAAUGCUCUCUUCUUCCUCAACCCCACAGCCAUCCAAAACCCUAACCCUAAGCCUCCUUUCCUUUCUCUUUUUCUUUCUUUUCAUUUUCAUUCUUUCCUUCCUGUCUUUUCCAAUCAUCUUCUUUCUCAAAUAUUCUUUUUUUUUUCUUUUUAAAUUAAAGAGAUAAAGGGGAAAAGAAACCAAAGAGAAGGGUACGAUCAUGGUGUCUCACCGUGACUGCGGCAGCACAGCAGCCACUGUCAUCCCUCUCUCACUUUUGUGUUUUCUCUGUUUCAAUAAUCAUAAUAAUAAUAAUAAUAAUAAUAAUAAUAAUAAUAAUCUAACCGCGGCAAAAAGAAGGAAAGGGAUGGUGGAGCUGGAGAAGAGUGAAGGAAGAGAAAAGAGGGGUAGGGUGGUGGAUGAGUGUAAGGAAGAAGAGGGCAACCAUGUUCAUAAUUUUUAUUUGAAAGUGGGAAAAAUAAGAGAGGUUUAGAGAGAUGAUCAUGAUAUGUAUGUAUUUAUUAACUCUCUUUUAAGGACUUUACAAGUAGCGAUCACUCCAUAUUUUCAAAUGAUUAUAUAUAUAUAUAUAUAUAUAUAUAUAUAUAUAUAUAUAUAUAUAUAUAUAUAUAUAUUUAUUUAUAUUAUGGCUUAAAAUAAAGUUUCCUGUGACAUUGAAUCGAAAUUUCAGUGACAAAAUUUCCUAAUUAAUUUAACAGUUGAACAGAUAACAAUGAAUAACAUCAUUAAAUCAUGGGGAUUGUAGUCCAUGGUGAUUAGUGUAAGGUUCUGUAAGGGAAUUUGAAGAGGUUAUGCGUGAAAUAUUAAAAAUAUAUGAUUACAUACUAAUGCAUUGAAUUCAGCACUUGGCCAUAUCUUCCUCUGCUUGGCUUGAUUGCAAAUGAACGUCUGCCUCAACCAGAAGGAACAGUGUCGCAGAGUCCAAAACAAAUUAACCGGCAAAUUCAUGCAAUAGCCUAUGACUAAUUUACAUGAUAUGCAAUUAUCCUUUUCAUAUAUAUUGUGCAAUCGAUUAGAUAGAUUAUCGCCUUUUUUUCUUUUUUUCACGUUUUAUAUGUAGCUUUCACUGAGAAAAGACAAAGAUCCCAAUUGUCCAGUUGUUUUAUGUUGAAAACCCAACUCCUAUAUGCUGCACCAUCCAUGACUGCUUUUAGGAACAAGCAAAAAGGAUCUGUAUACAUCGUUUUCUUACACACUUGAACCGUAAACCUUGCUGCUGUUUUUCUGCCUUGCUAAGCAAACUAGUAGAUGUUCUAACAAUAUAACACCUCCCCACCUGUGUCUUCCUCUACCUUUUACAAAGAUAGAUGGGAUAUUGAGGUUCUCUCGUCAACUUCAACUGCAGCCUUUCAACAAACUUCAUGCUCACUUCCCAUGUCACCCCCCUUAAUAAAAAGCCCCACUCCCCUCCAUACUCCUCCAAACAAAUUCUUUCUCCUCUACUUUCUCGGAGCAACAAGUUUUCUACUGAUCGAUACCAAGAGAGCCUAGGAAAAUAUGAUGACGAAACUUCUCUCCCCAACUCUUCUUCUGCUGAUCUUCUCCCUUCUCUGCACCACUACUUCUGGUCAGCCUUCAGCACCGGCUCAAGCACCUUCAGGUUCUACCACAACUUCUGGUCAGUCAUCAUCACCACCAGCUCCAUCACCUUCAGGUCCUUUAGCUCCUUCAGCUUCUUCAGGUCCCGCCGACAUCAUUGCAAUUCUCAGAAAGACCAGCAAGUUUAGUACCUUUAUUGGGCUACUAAAGAGCACCCAAAUGGAUUCUGAAAUUAAUAGCGAACUCAAGAAAAAAUCUAAUGCGGGCUUCACCAUAUUUCUCCCAAAUGCCCUAUACAUAUCUACGAGUCCAUGUAAUCAUUUUAGAAAACAAUUCCAAUAUUUUUAACACUUAAAAAUUUUUAUCUUCUAUUCAUUAAAAAAAAAUUAAAAAUUCUUUUCAAAAUUAUUAUCAAAUACACUCAAAAUAUAAUUAUAAAACUUAAAAAUGGAAUGAGGGAAAUCUCCAAAUAAAAAAAAAAAGGGAGAAUUAUAUUUUGGGAGUAGAUGGACUCCCAAAUUAACAAAAGGUCCAUAUAACUCUUCAAAUUGAGUUGAAGGAUAUGAAAUAGUAACGGACAAAUAUACCCUUUAAGAACACAUAUAAAAUAUUUUAUAAAAUUAAGUUAAAUAAUUUUUUUUUCAAUAAUAUUAAAUUAAAUAAAAGUAGCUUUCAAAAAUAUUAAAUUAAAUAAAUUUUUUUUCAAAAAUAUUAAAUUAAAUUAAAUUAAAGUAUUUAAAAAAUAUUUUUUUAGAGUUAAAAUUAUUAAAAUUAUUAUUAUUAUUAUUUUCUCUCUUUUUGACAUACAGCUGUUAAUUUCAUAUAGUUAAUUUAUCAUACUUUGUAAUGUCAAAUAUUAAAAAAGAGAAAAUAAGAAAAUAAUUUAACAGGAUUUGGUAAAGAAGCAAAGGAAAUGCGGUAGCCUUUUUGUGAAUGUAUUAUGAUUUAGGAUUUUCUUUGUUGUAUAAUUUCACCCUCCACGCGACAAGUCUUUUAUCUUCUCUCUUGUGCAAUCGAAUGCUAUGUUUAUGGAAUCUUUUCUCUUCAAGUAAGUCGGUGCUAACAAGAGUGAAAGGUAACUCCCAAUAUCGUUGUCUCGUACAGUUGAAUAACAUAUCCUGCUCUGCUAAGCAAACUUUGUGGAUAUUUUAACCACAUGAACACCCCACCUCUGUCUUCCCCUACCUUACAAAGAGAGAUGGGAUACUAUAUUGAGGUUUGUUCUCUUGCCAACUUCAAACGCAGCCUUUCACCAAACUUCAUGCUCACUUCCCAUCUCAGUAAGGAAAUUGGAACCCCCAAAUCUGCAGGGAAAGCCUCUUUCAAAGUGGAACAUAGUUGCCGUCUCACACUGCCAUCACCCAUGCCCAUGUCUUCAAUGUUGUCCCUUUUUCUCUUAUGUUGUGCGGUUUUCUUUGUCCACUCAAGAACCUGAGAAUUCCAUUAUAUUGCAUUGCCCAUGUUAGGCAUGUCAACAACAGUUUCUGAUCCAUUGGUUUCAUUUGAUAAUUAAAUUAUGAAAUGGACAAUUUCAAGCUAAAAUGUGCAAAUAAUGAAGGAGCAUGCAUAUAUAAAAUGGAUAAUUUGAUAAAAGUACUGGGUUGUAACACAUUCCAAAAUAUUGCUUCCUCUGGGACAUCAUAAAUUCAUAAAACAUAAGCAUGCAGUAACCUGAAAAUGUUUGAGGAUCCGAUGACUAAUUUACAUGAUGUAUACGCAAUUAUGUUUUUCAUGUAUUCUGGGCGAUUAUAUAGAUUAUCGCCUUUUUUUUUUUUUUUUUCUUACAUGUGGCUUUCACUGAGAAAAAAUCCCAAAUGUCCGGUUGUUACAUGUUGAAAACCCAGCUCCUAUAUGCUGCACCCUCCAUGGCUGCUUUUAGGAACAAGCAAGAAGGAUCUGUAUACAUCGUUUUCUUACACACUUGAACCAUAUACCCUGCCCCUGUCUUUUCUGCCUUGCUAAGCAAAGUAGAUGUACUAACAAUAUAACACCUCUCCAACUGUCUUCCUCUACAUUUUACAAAGAUAGAUGGGAUAUUGAAGUUCUCUUGCCAGCUUCAAAUGCAGCCUUUCACCAAACUUCAUGCUCACUUCCCAUCCCACCCCCUCAAUAAAAGGCCCCACUCCCUUCCAUACUCAUCCAAACAAACUCUUCUCCUCUACUUUCUUGGAGCAACAAGUUUUCCAUUUAUCAACACCAAGAGAGCCUAGGAAAAUAUGAUGGAGUCACUUCUCUCCCCAACUCUUCUUCUGCUGAUCUUCUUCCUUCUCUGCACCACUACUUCUGGUCAGCUUUCAGCACCGGCUCAAGCACCUUCUCAAGCACCUUCAGGUUCUACCACAACUGCUGGUCAGUCUUCACCACCAGCUCCAUCACCUUCGGGUCCUUUAGCUCCUUCAGCUUCUUCAAGUCCCGCCGACAUCGUAGCAAUUCUCAGAAAGGCCCGCAAGUUUAGUACCUUUAUUGGGCUACUAAAGAGCACCCAGAUGGACGCUGAAAUCAACAGCGAACUCAAGAAAAAAUCUAACGCGGGCUUCACCAUAUUUGCUCCAACUGAUAGUGCCUUUUCGGACCUCAAAACUGGUACUCUGAACUCAUUCACGGACAAUCAGAAGGCUGCGCUGACAAAAUUCCACAUAAUAAAUUCUUUCCUUACAAUCUCGCAGUUCCAAACUGUGAGCAACCCACUGCACACAUCGGCAAAUGGUAACACCAAGGAGUUUCCACUGAAUGUGAUAGGGAACGGAACUCAGGUGAACAUGACAACAGGCCUUGUGAAUACAACAGUGGACAGCACAGUAUACAGUGAUGGUCAGCUUGCGGUGUAUGAGAUCCCCCAGGUUCUCCUUUCACAAGGUAUCCUCAGGACUCAAGCACCAGCACCGGCUCCUCUACCUCCAAAGCCUAAGAAGGUUACUCCCCUUAAUUCACAGGCUCCUUCAAGGUCGACCACCUCUGCUGUUGAUUCUUCUGAUGGGACAGCACUGCCCCACCAUGCACCGAUUGUUGUAUCCAUUGGAGUGGCUGUUCUUGCGGCAUUGCGCUUGUGCCUAUGAAUUGGUGCUGAUUGAUGAAUGAUGAUGAUGAUGUUAUCUUGCAGUGUGCUUGUGCUGUUACGAUUUUUCGUUUCAUCAAAAUUUUUACCUUUUGUUUCUCGAAAACGAUUAAUAACUCAAAUGAGCCUUUUUCUUGUUGAUAUGGAGAAACUUAAGUGGCAAACUUGCUCCCUUCAUGUUUCACACAAGUACUACACUUGAAAAUGACUCCUGGAAAAAUAAGGGGGAAACAAAUCUAAGUAGAUGAAGGCAAUUGAGAAGGUAAUGCCUAAUUUUAGAGAUGGUUUUGAUUUUACUAUGCAAUCUAAACCACUAGAAAGCAACUUGCAGUCAAAUCGGUAUAAAUCAAAAGCAGAUACUUGGUUGUGAGAACUCCAAACCGUGCAAAGGGUUAUUCUCGUGAAGAAAAUCACAAUAAGCUAGAGUUCUCAGAGCUCCCAUGGUCGAUGUUAAAUGCACCCAUCAAUUUUUUUUAUUACUAUUUUUAUUUUUAAAAUAAAUUUUAAAUAUAAAAAAACAAAACUGCUCUCUUCUUCCUCAACCCCACAUCCAUCCAAAACCCUAACCCUAACACCCCUUUCCUUUCUCUUUUUCUUUCUUUAAAUUUUCCUUUUCCUUCCCUUCUUUUCCAAUCAUCUUCUUUCUCAAACAUUCUUCUUUUCUUCCUUUUUAAAUUGAAGAGAUAUAAAGGAAAAGAAACAAAGAGAAGGGUAGGAUCAUGGUGUCUCACCGUGACUGCGGCAGCACAGCAGCCACUGUCAUCGCUCUCUCACUUUUGUUUCUCUGCUUAAGUGAAAAUAAUAAUAAUAAUAAUAACCUAACCGAAAAAAAAGAAGGAAAGGGAUGGUGGAACUGGAGAAAAGAGCGAAGGAAGAGCAAAGAGUGGGGUGGUGGAUGAGUAUAAGGGAGAGAAGGGCAAAAAUGUUCAUUAAUUUUUAUUUGAAAGUUAGAAAAAUAAGAGAGGUCUAGAAAGAUGAUCAUGAUAUGGAUGUAUUUAUUAACUCUCUUUUAAGGACUCUACAAAUAAUGACUUUAUAUUUUGAAAUGAUUCUUUUUAUAUAUAUAUAUAUAUAUAUAUAUGUAUGUAUAUACUAUGGCUUAAAAUAAAGUUUCCUAUGACAUUGAAUCGAAAUUUUGGUAACAAAAUUUCUUAAUUAAUUUAACAAUUGAACAGAUAACAAUAAAUAACAUGGUUAAAUCAUUCACUGGAUUGCAGUUCAUGAUGAUUAGUGUAAGGUUAUGUAAGGGAAUUUGAAGAGAUUAUGCGUGAAAUAUUAAAACAUACUAAUGCAUUGAAUUCAACAUUUGGCCAUAUCUUCCUUUGCUUCGCUGAAUUGCAAAUGAACGUCUCCCUCAACUAGCUAGAAGGAACAGUGUCGGAACAGUGUCGCAGAGUCCAAAACAAAUUAACCGACAAAUUCAUACAAUAACCGAUGAUUAAUAUGCAAUUAUGCUUUUCAUAUAUUAUGGGCGAGUAGAUAGUUUAUCGCCCUAGUUUUGUUUUUUUUAACGUUUUACAUGUGGCUUUCACUGAUAAAGACAAAGAUCCCAAAUGUCCAGUUGGCAUAUGUUGAAAACCUAGCUCCUAUAUGCUGCAACCUCCAUGGCUGCUUUUAGGAAUAAGCCAAAAGGAUCUGUAUACAUCGUUUUCUUACACACUAGAACCAUAUAUUCUACUCCUGGCUUUCUGUCUUGCUAAGCAAACUAGUAGAUGUUCUAACAAUAUAACACCUCCCCACCUGUGUCUUCCUCUUACCUUUUAAAAAGAUAGAUGGGAUAUUGAGGUUCUCUUGCCAAUUUCAAAUGCAGCCUUUCACCAAACAUCAUGCUCACUUCCCAUGUCACCCCCCAAAAUAAAAAGCCCCACUCCCCUCCAUACUCAUCCAAACAAACUCUUCUCCUCUACUUUCUCGGACCAACAAGUUUUCUACUGAUCAAUACCAACAGAGCCUAGGAAAAUAUGAUGAAGAAACUUCUCUCCCCAACUCUGCUUCUGCUGAUCUUCUCCCUUCUCUGCACCACUAAUUCUGGUCAGCCUUCAGCACCGGCUCAAGCACCUUCCGGUUGUACCACAACUUCUGGUCAGUCUUCACCACCAGCUCCAGCACCUUCAGGUCCUUUAGCUCCUUCAGCUUCUUCAGGUCCUGCCGACAUCGUAGCAAUUCUCAGAAAGGCCCGCAAGUUUAGUACCUUUAUUGGGCUACUAAAGAGCACCCAGAUGGAUGCUGAAAUCAACAGCGAACUCAAGAAAAAAUCUAACGCGGGCUUCACCAUAUUUGCUCCAACUGAUAGUGCCUUUUCGGACCUCAAAACUGGUACUCUGAACUCAUUCUCGGACAAUCAGAAGGCUGCGCUGACAAAAUUCCACAUAAUAAAUUCUUUCCUUACAAUCUCGCAGUUCCAAACUGUGAGCAACCCACUGCACACAUCGGCAAAUGGUAACACUAAGGAGUUUCCACUGAAUGUGAUAGGGAACGGAACUCAGGUGAACAUGACAACAGGCCUUGUGAAUACAACAGUGGACAGCACAGUAUACAGUGAUGGUCAGCUUGCUGUGUAUGAGAUCCCCCAGGUUCUCCUUUCACAAGGUAUCCUCAGGACUCAAGCACCAGCAUCGGCUCCUCUACCUCCAAAGCCUAAGAAGGCUACUCCUCUUAAUUCACAUGCUCCUUCAACCUCGACCACCGUCUCUGUUGAUUCUUCUGAAGCGACAGGUCUGCCCCACUAUGCACCAAUUAUGGUAUCCAUUGGAGUGGCUGUUGUUGCGGCAUUACCCUUAUGCAUAUGAACUGAGUGGUUGAUUGAUGAAUGAGCAUGGUAUGAUGUUGCGUGCAGUGUGCCUGUGUUGUUACAAUUUUCGCUUAAUCAAAGCAUUACCUUGUGUUGGUAUUCAAAUUAAAAAAGAAAGAAAAAAAUAUGCUGACAUUUUCUUGAGGCUGUUAUCAGGGAUGGUUAUAGAGAAAUUGAAGUGGGAAACUUGCCCCCUUCAUGUUUCACAAAAACAGUUGAAUCUGAAUCAUGCUAAAACACAAACAAUGACAAAAAAUUCCACCUAAAUGACAGCAAAGCACACACAGGUAUGGCCGUCGGUGCCCAAAUAUACUUCUUGUUUGGUUUUAUUGUGCAAAUUAUUCAAAUCUAGAAUUACUGAGUGAUUUAAAUGCUAUGAGAGCUCAAGUAACCACUUGAACCACGGGUAGAAAGUGAAAACUCUUUGGCAGGGCUAACCGUAAGAAAAUUUUCAGAUAUUAAAAUAUAAAAAUUUAAAUAUUAUUUGAUAAAAAAAAUACAUAUUGAUAAGUCUUUUGGAUGAUUUGUUUAUUUGUGGACAUGUUUUCCUCACUCACCCAUAAGCAUGUUUAAGAUUUGAUUUGAUAGUGAUUAUAAGAAACGUUAAUAAUAUUUCUAUUAUUUAAAGAUUUUCGUCUUUUAAGUAUUAGAAAAAGUUAGAAAUACUUUCUAAAAAUUAGUAUGUAAUACAUUCUAAAUAUAAUAAUAAAACCUAAAAAAUGAAAUGAUGGGAAAUCUCAAAACAAAAGAAAUUAAAUAAUUUCAAUAACAUUUUGUGCAAAUUUUAAAAAGAGAUACAUUUGUCAAAUUUACCAAGGGGAAGUUAAAAAGAGGAAUAAAAAAAAAAGGUGAAAACGUUCAAAGAAUUUCAAUAAUUUUUUUAAUCCAAAGUUUGGUAUUUUCUCCCCAAAAGGCUUUUGUAACUUUAGCAAGAAAAUUUUUAUAUAAGAAGGCGGAAGAGAAGAAGUCGUGAGCUUAUAUUAUAUCAUCCAGGACUUUGUUGAGUGUGUCGACUGCUUUGUCGGUGCAUGAGCCAGUUUAGACGCUCCGUUCUUCGUCUUUGUUGGUUUUUUAGAAGGAUCCAUUUGUGUUUUUCCUUUGCUAACCCUAAAAUUCGAUUUAACUUCUAUUUGUACUAAUCGGUUGUCAAUUUGCCAUGAGGUAAAGGUUUUUGGGUCGGUGGAUUCUUGAUGCAGCUAUGGUGGUCUAUGUUUGUUCCCGAACCCACUAAGAAAAGAAGAAAAAUAUGAUAAAUAAAUAUUUUUUUUUUGCUUAUCAAGAAAAUAUAAGAAAAAAUUAAAUAUUAUUAUAAUUAAUAAUAUAUAUAUUAUUUAAUUUUUAUAUGAAGAGAAUUAAUACAAUGACUUUAAAGGAACGAGUAAACAUAUUUUAUUAAUGUUAUUUAUUUUAGUUCUUUAUAGAUAUGUGAAUACGCGGAGAUAUAAUUUAAGGCCUUUAAUUCACAUACUUUUAGAAAGUAAAAAGAGGUUUACCCUUAAAAGGUCUUUUCAGUGCUCGUCCUAUCCUAUCCUAAUGGAAUGAGUUUAAAAUUUAAAUAAACGGAUUUGAGAUGAGUUUGAGAAUUUUUUUUUAUUUUUUAACCUGAGGUAUGAGUAUUACCUUGUCUCAUCCCGCUAUGAUUAUAUAUAAAAUUAAUGUAAUAUAAUUUUUAUUUUCUUAUUUUUAAUACAUAGAUAAUAAUAAUAAUAAAAAAAAAAUAUUUUUCAAUAAAAUAAGUUAUAAAAAUAUAAUAAUUUAAUUAUUUUCAAAAUAUAUUCAUUUUAAUGUAAUUAAUUUUUUUAAAAUAUUAUAAAAAAAAGUUAAAUAGGACGUGACAAGUAUGCGAAUUUCUCAAACCUACUCCGACCUAUUUAAUUUUUUAAUGGAAUAUGGAUGAUAAUUAUUUUGAAUGAAUGGGGUAAGAUUGGGAUGCGGCGUCCGUUGUCUCCUUAUUUCUAGUUUCCACCAUGGAUGUACUCUCUUCCCCACCAAAAGAUAUGUAUAUAUGGUUUAUCUCUAUGAAAAGCCUUACAAGAUUUGAUUUGAGAAGUGUUUUUGAAAAUGGUUGUAAAAAUAGGUUUUAAUAAUAAUUUUUAAAAAUUAUUUUUAAUGUUUUGUAGAAUAACAAUCCAUUUAGAAUUUAAUUGAAAUAUUUUUAAUAUAUUUUAUAUAUUUUAAAAAUUACUUUGACAUGUACUACUUUAUUUUUAAUCAUCAGUUAUAACUGUAUAAUUAUUUUUUUAAAAAAACUUAUAAAAAAGUAAAUAUAAACAAUUAUAAAACAUCGUUUACAAUUUUCAGGUCGUUAAAAGUGUUUUAUUCUAGAAAACAAAACACUGCUUUUAAAAAAUAGUUAAUUAUAAAAUAUGACCUAACUUUCUAAAACUUUCAACACAUAAGAUCCGUCCAUGGGUAACCACUUGAUGAGCUUGUGAGAUGCAGCAUGAUUGAGGCCCUUCUCUGGUGGCAGGAGACUUCGACUAGUCCUAAGGGUUCGUGCACUUGGCAAGCCACCAAGACAGUGUUACUUUUUCUUUCAUUAACAAACUAAUGAUUUUUUUUUUUAAAAAAAUAUUGAUCAAAAUGUUACAACCCAUUCACCUCUGGCUUUUGAAUGUUAUUCUCCUGGUGAUUAAAUCGAGAUAUAUAUUCAACGUAGCUGUCUUCCUUAAUGGUUGUAAUCUUCAAGUGGGGUGACUUUGUUGGUGUAUGAAUAAUGCGGACCAGCGUAAUCUGCCUUUUGACUUGAUUAUUUGACAUAAUGUGUCUUCUAGAACCACCCGUGCGGGUCGGACCAUCACUAAGGGAAAAAAGACUACAGUAGAAGUAUUCAAACUAAACAAAAUUCACAGACGGAAAAUUCUAUUAAUAAUAUUUUCUUACUUGUUCUUCCAUAAUCACGGCUACCAAACAGUUGAAUGGGACUCUUCUCUCGUGAAAAACCUUGUGACUCAGUCAACAGGCUAGAACUCCUCAACCACUAUAUAUAUCGCAUCACUCUCCCUGAAUCUUCCCCAUGCUUGUACUCCCAACUCCAAAAUUCGAAAAUUCACUCUUUCGACUCGGAUCUUCUGAGACUCUGGGGUUCCUUUCCUUUUCUCUUCUGUUGGUGACCGAGAAGCUGUGGUCUCCUUGUGUGCUUGCUCUGUUUCCUCAGAAUCUACCACGGCAAUGACUAUGGCUACUGGAUACAAGAAGGAGAAAGUCAGGCUUCCUCCAAAGAGAGGCAAGGUGAAAAUUAAGAUAUUCCGGUAUUUUAUACGGAUUUUAGCCAGAGUAGCCUCAAAAGCAGGAAGAGGACUUGGCAUAAAGAAAAAGAAGGUGACAGCAGAUGGAAGUGAUCAGCCUUCACCACCCCACCCGAAAAGCCCAAAUGUAACUGACAAGUACGUAGCAUGACCUCUCAAUUUGCAGCUAUAUGGUGGAGCAGGAGGCUUUUUAAAAGAAAGCCCAUGUAUGUAUAUAGAAAUGGGGAUUUAUAGCUAGGGUCAUGCCCUUAUUAUAUGUAUAUGAAGAAUUGUAGCCUAUCUCAGGUGGCAGCUAGACUUGAAUGUUAAGGCAAGUUCAUGGUUUCUUAUGUAAAUUAAUUAUUUCUUUCAUUUUCAUUUUCAUUUGCGCUUGUUUUUAGAAGAGAAUGGUCUUUCUCUCUGAUGAAUUGGCAUCUGGGUGUUGCACUUUUUCCAGUCCACCAUUAGAAUAAACUUAUCUUGGACUUUGAUUCUAAGGUGGAAAAUUCAUUACCAGCACUGCGAUCAUGAUCAUUUCUUCUUAAUUAUUUCUUCACACAAAUCAUAAUGCGACACGGAAUCCUCCAUCUCCGCCAAAACACAACAGGGGACAACCAUUGGUCAAUGCUUUUGCUUCUCGUUUGCUGCGGUCAACACAAGUGUUACCUAAUUGCUGUGGACUUCUAUUUACAUGUAAUUUUGCCAAGAUACGGCUCUCCUCUCCUGGUUGGUCCUCACUUAUACUUCCGGAUGACUUUUUUUCAUGGUUCUUUCCUAACUUCAUUUGUUGCUACUGAUUUUUUACUUUAUUCAAGUAAUAUUAUUUAAUAUUUUUUAAAAUACUAUCUUAUUAAAUAUUUACAAAAUUACAAUUGUAAAUUUAUAUUGAAAUCAUUUUUUUUUUAAAAAAAUUCUAAUGUAAAUAGAUAAAAUUAUUUUUUUUAAAGAUAAUUUUAAUAUGAAUGUUAUCCAAAUUCUAUUUGGUCCAACUCAAAAGGCUUGCAUAUAUAUAUAUAUGAGGUAUAGCUUUAAGGUUAUAAUAACUAUAUUUUUGUUAUAACCGGUCGCAACUCUUCUUAUUAUACCAAUUUUUGAUAUAGUGGAUUUCUUUAUCCUUUCUCCAUAAUUUUUUUCUUUUAAGAUUUUUUACGUAAAUCUAUAUAUUCCAUUUUUUGUUUUUUUACUACCUCUCAUUAUCGUGUAACAAUAAAUAUAAUUUAAAAAUUUAUAUGAAAUCAUUUUUUCAAAAGGCGAUUUUAAUUGAGUAUAAAAUAUUGAAUUUUGGGAAAUAUAUUCAUAACUAUGAUUAUCUUAGAGCUCUUUUUAAAAACAUAUGUGAUAGCUAAAAAGAAGCCUUUGUGGCAAUAUCUAUUUUGCAACACACAUGUUGAAUUUCUUUUGAUUUUUGUUUUUAUUUUUGUUUUCUCUCUUUUUUGGGGAUCUUGAGUCAAAAGAUGACUUUGAAGUCAAUAUUAUAUACUUAUAUCUAUCAUAAGCCAGCUACUUACCGACCCAAUAGUUGAUAUUUUUAAAAGUCUCUAAUAAUCUAAAUUUAAAGAUUGAAUUAUAGAAAUAUUUUUAAUUUAAAAUAUUUCUUGUUCAAUUAUAAAUCGCCAUGUUUUGAUUUGCAGUAGCGUGACAGAACUGCCAAAUGAACCAAGUUUGCAGAAACGACCACUUUCCUUGACCUUUUGUAGAGUGGAACUGUGGGACAUCUUUUAGUGGCACAUUUUUAUUAUUUUUUUCUUGACUUUGUUGGCGUACUAAGGAUGAAAACUCGGAAAUAUUUAUAAUUAAAAAAAAAAAAGAAGAAAAAUCAUCCUUGAGGGUUAUCAAAAUGAAUUGUAAAAACCAUGAAUUCAAAGGACUCUAAGUGAUUUUAAAACACAUUUAUAUAAUUAAAAGAUUUUCCUAUUUAUAUAGUAUAGAAGUUUUUUUUCUUUAUUCUAUGUGGGAUAUUAGAGGGGUUUUUUUAAUUAUAUUUUUAUUUUUAUUUUUUAAAAACCACAUUUAUAUAGUCAUAAUUUCUUAACAAUUACGAUUUUUUUUUCAAAUCUUAAGUAUUAUACAUAAAAAUGUUUUAACCAAAAUCAUGACUUUGACUUGAACAUUUUUUUUCUAUUUUAUCUAGGCUGUGUAUGAAAUUUUAUUGAAUAACUAGUGCUUAUUUUGUAAAGACUUUUUUUUUUAAUGCUAAUUUGGUUUUAGAAAAGUAAGUCUAAGGAAAGGAUAAAAAAAAAUACCCCCCAAAAAAAAAUCAUCUUUUAAUAUUUAAGUUAAUAAUAAAAAAAAUGGAAACAAAUAAAAUAUAAUUAAAAUUUUAUAUAUUUUUAAAUUAUUUUAAAAAAUGAAAUAAAGGUAUAAAGAAUAAUGUAAAAAUAAGUUAUUAAUUUUAAAUCUGUUUUAAUUUUUUUUUUCAUUUUAACUUUUAUUUGCUUUUCAUCAUAUUUUUCCUUAGAUAUUCUAAGAACCAAGCAUAGAGUUAAAAUUAUUAUUAUUAUUUUCUCUCUUCUUGGUAUACAGCUGUAAAUUUCAUUUAGUUAAAUUAUCAUACUUUCUAAUGUCAAAUAUUAAAAAGAGAAAAAAGGAAAAUAAUUUAACAUGAUUUGGUAAAGAAACAAAGGAAAUGCGAUAGCCUUUUUGUGAAUAUAUCAUGAUUUAGGAUUUUCAAUAUCGUUGUAUAAAUCGGUGCAAUCAAAUGCUAUGUUUAUGGAAUCUUUUCUCUUCAAGUAAGUCGGUGCUAACAAGUGUGAAAGGUCACUCUCAAUGUCAUUGUCUCGUACAGUUGAAUAACAUAUCCUGCUGUUUUUCCUGCUCUACUAAGCAAACUUGUGGAUAUUUUAACCACAUGAACACCCCACCUGUGUCUUUCCCUACCUUACAAAGAGAGAUGGGAUAUAUAUUGAGGUACGUUCUCUUGCCAACUUCAAAUGCAGCCUGUCACCGAACUUCAUGCUCACUUCCCAUCUCACCCCUCUCAAUAAAACCCCCACUCCCCUCCUUACUCAUCCAAGCCAACUCGUCUCCACUCCUUUCUCAGAGCAACAAGUUUGGCCACUAGAUAGGAAAAGAGCCUAGAAAAAUAUGAUGAAGCAGCUUCUCUCCCCAUUUCUGCUUCUGCUAUUUUUGUUCCAUCUCUGCGCCAAAACUUCCGGUCAGUCAAGCCCUUCAGGUCCCGCCGACAUUGCUUGUAAUGACCGGGCAUUUUAUGUCACGUUAGCAAUUUUAGUUUGAAAAGUCUUAAUUUAUGUGAUGGUUGAAAAGUCAAAAAGAAAAGCGUUUGGAGAACACGUGUCAAUUUCGGAUUGGUGAAUUUCGUUUUAUUGCGUCGGUCAAUUAAACGAGUUGAAAUUUUAUGCCAUGUCAGCCUUAGGAUAGAAAAUUCUUAGGAUUUUAGAAAUUGGAAAUUUACGGGAACGAAAAACGAAAACGAAAAAUGAAAAAUAAAUAAAUUAAGAUUAAUUAGAAUUAAUUAAGAAAAAUAAAUUAAUUAAUUAAAGUAAAUUGAUGAAUAAUAAUAUUAAGAAAAUUAGUUUUUAUUUGGUGUUAAUAAAUAAAAUUGUGUGUUAAAAUGAAAAAAAAAAUGAAUUGGAAAUUAAAUAAAACAAUUAGAAUAAAGAAAAGAAAAGAAAAUAAAAUAAAAGAAAUAAUAACAAUAAUAAUGGAUUGGGCUUAGUUUUUGAGUUGGGCUUGGAGCAAGUGGGCUGGUGGUUUUUUUUAAAAAGCCAUGUGAAGUGGGCUGGGCUGUUAGUAAAAAGAAAAAGAAAAAAAAAAAGGAAAAGGGGGAAAAUUGGAAAAGUGCAGCACGCGGGAGAGAGAGAGAGAGAGAAAAGGGCACUGUUCAUAAAUUAGGGCACUUGCCGGAAUUUUGAUCGGACGUUUGGACGGCCAAACGAUCUCCGUUUCGGCCCAAAUUCGGAGGAAGUACUCUAUUCGACUAGACGAACAAGCCUGCGGUGGCUGAUUUUGUUUUUAACGGUCAAAUUUUCAGAUCUGAGGUAGGGGACCCUAACCCUAAAACUCAAAUUUUUAUGUUUUUUCCUUGAAAAAAAAUUGUAAAUAUUGUCACUAUGAGUUAAUUAGGAAUUAUGGAUGUUGUGUGAAUUUUUCUAGAAUAUUUGGAGUUUGUUUGGAAUUUUUGGAAUUUCGGGAAAUUGAUUUUGAUUGAUAAUUAAUUGUUUUGAAAGGUUAAAAAUUAUUAGAUGGGUUGGAAAAUUCCAAAAUUUGGGUUAAAUUUUAAAUAUAAUGAUUUGUGAAUUUUUAGGCAUUGGUUAGAAUAUUUUCGAAAAUUUUAGGGUAAAUAGUUAGUUAAUUUUGGAUAUUAGAAAUUAUUAUAAUGGUUGAAAAAUUUUGUAAGUGUGGUAAAAUCUCAAGAUUGUUGAUAUGCAAUUUUUUUAAUAUUUAUUUGGGAUAUUAUCGGAAAUUGUAAUGUGUGAAAUUGUUUGAUUGGAUUAUUGGGGAAUGUUGAGAUUGUUGAAUUAUUGAGGAAUAUUGGAAUUGUGGCAUUCAUUGCAUCAUGGUUAUGUGAAAAAAAUAAAUAAAUAAAUAAAAUCAUGAAGAUUGUGAAAAGUGUAUGAAAUGGAAAAAAAUGAAAUAGAGAUGAGAAGUGGAAGCCCGUGUGAGGCGAAUUAAGAAGGGAGAGAGAUCCCUAGGGUGAAAGACCCAAAAGUUUACCCCGGGAAGACUCCGAAUGGGGAGUGUAUUUGGGUGCGGACGCGUAUCCUUCGGUGAAAGCCCGAGAACAAUAGUGCAUUGUAUGACUGUGUGUCACACGUUCAUGUGCAUUCAUGUAAUUGUUGAAUAUUGUGAAAUUGGGUAUAAAAUUAUAUAUAUUAAACUAUGUGGUUUGAUUGACACUGUUGAAUUGUUCCUGUGGUGUUGAAGUGUUCUUUUCGUAUUCUUUGAACUUAGUAAUCCCUUUAACCCCUUGGGUGUUAGGCACCCUACUGAGCAAUGUGGAAAUGCUCACCCCUUCCUUGUUACACCUUUUUAGAUGCAGAUAUCUCUCCUGAGGAUCCAUAGGUGGGACAGGGAGGACUUCAGGAUGCUCCUGGAGCGACCUAGUGGAGCGUGGCAUUUAUUUGUUAUUGUGUUCCUUUUUGGAUUUUGGGGAUUUGUUUUAGCAAUUAUGACUCAUGGAUUUGCUAUGAAGCUUUAUUUGAUUAAGUUGUUAAUUGUGAACUUUUAUUUUGGACUAUAAUGAAUAUUUAUUUAAUCUUGUUGUUUUGAGUAGUUUUGGGAUAUUGUAAUUUAUGAGAAUUCUAGUGAGAUGUAUAAAUAAAAAAAAAUCCAGAGUGUUUUGGUUGAUUACCAACAUGGAAUAGGAGGAACCCUUAGGGUCAAACCUUUGACCUAGGGUCACGGGUCAAAUUUUGGGUCGCCCGGAAUUUGGGUCGUGACAUUGCUGCAGUUCUCGGACAGGCUGGUAAGUUUACUACCUUCAUUGGGCUACUAAAGAGCACCCAGAUGGAUGCCCAAAUCAAUGACGAGCUCAAGAAAAAAUCUACCCCCGGCAUCACCGUAUUUGCACCAACAGAUAGUGCCUUUUCAGACCUCAAACCAGGUACACUGAACUCAUUCAGUGAUCAACAGAAGGCCGCACUGACGCAAUUCCAUGUGGUACCUACUUUCCUUACUGUCUCACAGUUCCAGACAGUGAGCAACCCACUGCACACAGAGGCUGGUGAAAAUACUGUGGAGUUCCCACUGAAUGUCGUAGGCAACGGAACUCAGGUGAACAUGACAACAGGGCUUGUGAACACAACAGUGGACAGCACAGUAUAUACUGACGGUCAGCUUGCUGUGUAUGAGAUCCCCCAGGUUCUCCUUUCACAAGGUAUCCUCAGCCCUCAAGCACCAGCACCAGCUCCUCUACCACCAAAGCCUAAGAAGGCUACUCCUCUCAAUUCAGCGGCUCCUUCAAAGUCGACCACCGUUUCUGUUGAUUCUUCUGGUGCCGGGGGUCUGCCCCACUAUGCACCAACUGCUGUAUCCAUUGGAGUGGCUGUUCU
Molecule: long non-coding RNA, 25693 nt
Filed under: Vitis vinifera (wine grape)
Lineage: Eukaryota; Viridiplantae; Streptophyta; Magnoliopsida; Vitales; Vitaceae
Description: long non-coding RNA (VVIN_LNC002540)
Source: RNAcentral